UACGUAGGGGGCGAGCGUUGUCCGGAUUUAUUGGGCGUAAAGAGCGUGUAGGCGGCCAGGUAGGUCUGCUGUGAAAACUCGAGGCUCAACCUCGAGACGUCGGCGGAAACCAUCUGGCUAGAGUCCGGAAGAGGAGAGUGGAAUUCCGGGUGUAGUGGUGAAAUGCGUAGAGAUCCGGAGGAACACCAGUGGCGAAGGCGACACGCUGGGCCGUACCUGACACUGAUGCGCGACAGCAUGGGGAGCAAACAGG
Molecule: ribosomal RNA, 253 nt
Filed under: uncultured bacterium
Lineage: Bacteria
Description: partial 16S ribosomal RNA
Rfam family: Bacterial small subunit ribosomal RNA
Source: RNAcentral